This 468-nucleotide ribosomal RNA is filed under the name uncultured bacterium. RNAcentral's name for it is "partial 16S ribosomal RNA". It matches the Rfam family "Bacterial small subunit ribosomal RNA", at positions 28 to 507 of the family's 1533-position model. The record is from RNAcentral.
GACGAACGCUGGCGGCGUGCUUAACACAUGCAAGUCGAACGGAAAGGCCCUGCUUUUGUGGGGUGCUCGAGUGGCGAACGGGUGAGUAACACGUGAGUAACCUGCCCUUGACUUUGGGAUAACUUCAGGAAACUGGGGCUACUACCGGAUAGGAGCUCCUGCUGCAUGGUGGGGGUUGGAAAUUUUCGGCGGUUGGGGAUGGACUCGCGGCUUAUCAGCUUGUUGGUGGGGUAGUGGCUUACCAAGGCUUUGACGGGUAGCCGGCCUGAGAGGGGGACCGGCGACAUUGGGACUGAGAUACGGCCCAGACUCCUACGGGAGGCAGAAGGGGGGAAUAUUGCACAGUGGGCGGAAGCCUGAUGCAGCAACGCCGGGUGCGGGAUGACGGCCUUCGGGUUGUAAACCGCUUUCGCCUGUGACGAAGCGGGAGUGACGGUAAUGGGUAAAGAAGCACCGGCUAACUACGUG